GGGCAGAGAUGCCUUAGUGCCUUCGGGAACCGUGAGACAGGUGCUGCAUGGCUGUCGUCAGCUCGUGUUGUGAAAUGUUGGGUUAAGUCCCGCAACGAGCGCAACCCUUAUCCUUUGUUGCCAGCGGCUCGGCCGGGAACUCAAAGGAGACUGCCGGUGAUAAACCGGAGGAAGGUGGGGAUGACGUCAAGUCAUCAUGGCCCUUACGGCCAGGGCUACACACGUGCUACAAUGGCGCAUACAAAGAGAAGCGACCUCGCGAGAGCAAGCGGACCUCAUAAAGUGCGUCGUAGUCCGGAUUGGAGUCUGCAACUCGACUCCAUGAAGUCGGAAUCGCUAGUAAUCGUAGAUCAGAAUGCUACGGUGAAUACGUUCCCGGGCCUUGUACACACCGCCCGUCACACCAUGGGAGUGGGUUGCAAAAGAAGUAGGUAGCUUAACCUUCGGGAGGGCGCUUACCACUUUGUGAUUCAUGACUGGGGUGAAGUCGUAACAAGGUAGGCGUAGCGAG
Molecule: ribosomal RNA, 511 nt
Filed under: uncultured bacterium
Lineage: Bacteria
Description: bacterial SSU rRNA
Rfam family: Bacterial small subunit ribosomal RNA
Source: RNAcentral